This 168-nucleotide ribosomal RNA is filed under the name Firmicutes bacterium enrichment culture clone 4.17b Bac band 3. Its description in RNAcentral is "partial 16S ribosomal RNA". It matches the Rfam family "Bacterial small subunit ribosomal RNA", at positions 341 to 523 of the family's 1533-position model. The record is from RNAcentral. Lineage: Bacteria; Bacillati; Bacillota.
ACGGGAGGCAGCAGUGGGGAAUAUUGCACAAUGGGGGAAACCCUGAUGCAGCGACGCCGCGUGAGCGAAGAAGGCUUUCGGGUCGUAAAGCUCUGUCCCAAGAGAAGAAAGAAAUGACGGUAUCUUGGGAGGAAGCCCCGGCUAACUACGUGCCAGCAGCCGCGGUAA